RNAcentral lists this long non-coding RNA (555 nucleotides) under Calidris pugnax (ruff). Its description in RNAcentral is "lncRNA (ENSCPUG00000008625.1)". Lineage: Eukaryota; Metazoa; Chordata; Aves; Charadriiformes; Scolopacidae. The record is from RNAcentral.
CCAGAUUUUGAAAUAUUCUGGUUUUUUUGCAGUUCAUUCACACUACCUGUCUGCUUUGGUUUCAGACUCACUUGUGUUCUCCGACAGAAGACAGUGACGUGACAUGAAUGGUAGCACCAGGCUCUUACUGUUGCAUUCAAUAAUUGAUUCUCCUGGAUGGAUUGUGACUCUCCAAAGGCUGCAAAGAGAGAAAGAGCUGAAUGAUGCUGCCACUUACCAAGAAGAAAAAGCAGCGUAAGAGCAUUGGUUUAAAGGAGAUGUUUUGGAUUUACACUGUCAUCCUGAAAGCAGAGUUGUCCCCUGUCAAUGAGAAGUAUCACAGUCCCUCUCCCCAGAGGAUUAGAAGAGGCAGUGACUGCUGGGGCAGUCUUCUCUGAAUCUUCUGCUGUUCUGUGGGACCCAGCAGAAUCCCAGAUGUGAAAUACAGAGGGGUGCAGGAGUCACCCACCGGCCUUUGCCACGUUGUGAACACGCACAGUCUGCUUCUGGAAGAGCUCCAAGUGACUUGAAAGGUAAGAAAAAAUACAUAAAACAAACCCAAAAACUGAAAUGGGU